AUUGAACGCUGGCGGCAGGCCUAACACAUGCAAGUCGAGCGAGCGGCGGACGGGUGAGUAAUGUCUGGGAAACUGCCUGAUGGAGGGGGAUAACUACUGGAAACGGUAGCUAAUACCGCAUACCAUCAGAUGUGCCCAGAUGGGAUUAGCUAGUAGGUGGGGUAACGGCUCACCUAGGCGACGAUCCCUAGCUGGUCUGCGAGGAUGACCAGCCACACUGGAACUGAGACAAGGUCCAGACUCCUACGGGAGGCCGCAGUGGGGAAUAGUGCACAAGGGGCGCAAGCCUGAUGCAGCCAUGCAGCGUGUGUGAAGAAGGCCUUCGGUGUGUAAAGCACUUGUAGCGGGGAGGCGUUACUCGCAGAAGAAGCACCGGCUAACUCCGUGCCAGCAGCCGCGGUAAUAC
Molecule: ribosomal RNA, 406 nt
Filed under: uncultured bacterium
Lineage: Bacteria
Description: partial 16S ribosomal RNA
Rfam family: Bacterial small subunit ribosomal RNA
Source: RNAcentral